This 218-nucleotide ribosomal RNA is filed under the name uncultured bacterium. RNAcentral's name for it is "partial 16S ribosomal RNA". It matches the Rfam family "Bacterial small subunit ribosomal RNA", at positions 335 to 573 of the family's 1533-position model. The record is from RNAcentral.
ACUCCUACGGGAGGCAGCAGUGGGAAUCUUGGACAAUGGGGCAACCCGUGCAUCCAGCCAUGCCGCGUGAGUGAUGAAGGCCCUAGGGUCGUAAAGCUCUUUCGCCUGUGAAGAUAAUGACUGUAGCAGGUAAAGAACCCGCGUAAUCCGUGCCAGCAGCCGCGGUAAUACGGAGGGGGUUAGCGUUGUUCGGAAUUACUGGGCGUAAAGCGCGCGUA